CUAUUUUUCCCUUUUUACAAUCUUUGCAAUAUAUUUUACAAUAGAAAUGCUUCUGUAUAUCAUAGACACGCC
Non-coding RNA from Pangasianodon gigas (Mekong giant catfish), 72 nucleotides. The record is from the annotation of a GenBank genome assembly. NCBI's taxonomy places the organism in Eukaryota, Metazoa, Chordata, Actinopteri, Siluriformes, Pangasiidae.